RNAcentral lists this ribosomal RNA (1410 nucleotides) under uncultured Bordetella sp. Its description in RNAcentral is "partial 16S-23S ribosomal RNA intergenic spacer". It matches the Rfam family "Bacterial small subunit ribosomal RNA". The record is from RNAcentral. Lineage: Bacteria; Pseudomonadati; Pseudomonadota; Betaproteobacteria; Burkholderiales; Alcaligenaceae.
AGUCGAACGGCGGCACGGACUUCGGUCUGGUGGCGAGUGGCGAACGGGUGAGUAAUGUAUCCAGACGAUGUGCCUAGUAGCGGGGGAUAACUACGCGAAAGCGUAGCUGUCUGCCGCCCUUCGGGGAAAGCGGGGACCUUCGGGCCUCGCACUAAACAGAGCGGCCGAUAUCGGAUUAGCUUAGUUGGUGGGGUAACGGCUCACCGGGGCGACCUUCGAUCCGUAGCUGGUUUGAAGGACGACCAGCCACGCAGGACCGAGACACGGCCCAGACUCCUACGGGAGAGGCAGCAGUGGGGAAUUUUGGACAAUGGAAACCUGAUCCCAGCCAUCCCGCGUGUUGCGAUGAAGGCCUUCGGAUUUGUAAAGCACUUUUGGCAGGAAAAACAUACGGAUGUGCGUACAGCUGACGUUACCUGCAGAAUAAGCGCACCGGCUAACUACGUGCCGCCAGCAGCCGCGGUAAUACGUAGGGUGCAAGCGUUAAUCGGGAGUACUGGGCGAUAAAGCGUGCGGGCGGUUCGGGAAAGAAAGAUGCUGCUGAAAUCCAAAGAGCUUAACUUUGGAACUGCAUUUUAACUGCAGGCUGAAGUGUGUCAGAGGAGGUGGAAUUCCAGCGUGUAGCAGUGAAAUGCGUAGAUAUGCGGAGGGACUACCAAUGGCGAAGGCGUGCCUCUGGGAUGCACUGACGCUCAUGCAGCGAUGAGCGAACAGGAUUAGAUACCUGGUAGUCCCACCCUAAACGAUGUCAACUAGCUGUUGGGGCCUUCGGGCCUUGGUAGCGCAAUAACGUGAAGUUGACCGCCUGGGGGAAGUACGGUCGCAAGAUUAAAACUCAAGGAAUUGACGGACCACACAAGCAGUGGAUGAUGUGGACAAUUCGAUGCAACGCGAAAAACCUUACUACGCGACAUGUCUGGUCCCAGGAAUUUGGGAGUGCUCAUAAGAGAACCGGAACAACACAGGUGCUGCAUGGCUGUCGUCAGCUCGUGUCGUGAGAUGUUGGGUUAAGUCCCGCAACAGCCUGUGCCCAGUAUUAGUUGCUACGAAAGGGCACUCUAAUGAGACUGCCGGUGCAAACCGGAGGAAGGUGGGGAUGACGUCAAGUCCUCAUGGCCCUUAUGGGUAGGGCUUCACACGUCAUACAAUGGUCAGGACAGAGGGUCGCCAACCCGCGAGGAGCAAUCCCAGAAACCCGAUCAUAGUCCGGAUGCAGUCUGCACAGCUCGACUGCGUGAAGUCGGAAUCGCUAGUAAUCGCGGAUCAGCAUGUCGCGGUGAAUACGUUCCCAGAUCUUCAUAUACACCGUCCUGCGGGAGUGGGUUUACCAGAAGUAGUUAGCCUAACUUAAGCGUAAGGAGGGCGAUUACCGGUAGGAUUCAUGACUGGGGUGAAGUCGUAACAAGGUAA